GCCUGUUCGAGCGUCAUUUAACCACUCACGCCUAGCGUGGUAUUGGGGCACGCGGUCUCCGCGGCCUCAAAUUAGUGGCGGCGCCGGUGGGCUCUAAGCGUAGUACAUACUCCCGCUAUAGAGUUCCCCCGGUGGCUCGCCAGAACCCCCAAUUUUUACAGGUUGACCUCGGAUCAGGUAGGGAUACCCGCUGAACUUAA
Molecule: unclassified non-coding RNA, 200 nt
Filed under: soil metagenome
Description: partial contains internal transcribed spacer 2 and large subunit ribosomal RNA
Source: RNAcentral